UCGUAACACGAACCGGUGCUAAAGGGUCCUGCCCAACGGCUGGUGCUGUCGGGGCAGGGACCCUUUAGCACCAGUUCGUGUUACCAA
MicroRNA precursor from Sorghum bicolor (sorghum), 87 nucleotides. It matches the Rfam family "MIR5387 microRNA precursor family". NCBI's taxonomy places the organism in Eukaryota, Viridiplantae, Streptophyta, Magnoliopsida, Poales, Poaceae. The record is from Rfam.